UGGGGAAUAUUGCACAAUGGGCGCAAGCCUGAUGCAGCCAUGCCGCGUGUAUGAAGAAGGCCUUCGGGUUGUAAAGUACUUUCAGCGGGGAGGAAGGUGUCAAGGUUAAUAACCUUGGCAAUUGACGUUACCGACAGAAGAAGCACCGGCUAACUCCGUGCCAGCAGCCGCGGUAAUACGGAGGGUGCAAGCGUUAAUCGGAAUUACUGGGCGUAAAGCGCACGCAGGCGGUUGAUUGAGUCAGAUGUGAAAUCCCCGGGCUUAACCCGGGAAUUGCAUCUGAUACUGGUCAGCUAGAGUCUUGUAGAGGGGGGUAGAAUUCCAUGUGUAGCGGUGAAAUGCGUAGAGAUGUGGAGGAAUACCGGUGGCGAAGGCGGCCCCCUGGACGAAGACUGACGCUCAGGUGCGAAAGCGUGGGGAGCAAACAGG
RNAcentral lists this ribosomal RNA (429 nucleotides) under Chloroflexota bacterium. RNAcentral describes it as "Chloroflexi bacterium partial 16S ribosomal RNA". It matches the Rfam family "Bacterial small subunit ribosomal RNA", at positions 355 to 776 of the family's 1533-position model. The record is from RNAcentral. Lineage: Bacteria; Bacillati; Chloroflexota.